GCAGCCGCCGCGGUAAUACGAGGGGUGCAAGCGUUAUUCGGAUUGAUUGGGUGUAAAGGGUGCGCAGACGGCUUAUUAAGUCACUUGUUAAAUUCUUCGGCCUAACUGAAGGUCUGCAAGUGAUACUGAUGAGCUAGAGGGUGGAAGAGAGAAGUGGAAUUCUCGGAGUAGCGGUAAAAUGCGUAGAUCUCGAGAGGAACACCAAUGGCGAAGGCAGCUUCUUGGUCCAUUCCUGACGUUCAUACACGAAAGCGUGGGGAGCAAACGGGAUUAGAGACCCCCUGUAGUCCCUGUCUCUUAUU
RNAcentral lists this ribosomal RNA (302 nucleotides) under uncultured bacterium. RNAcentral describes it as "partial 16S ribosomal RNA". It matches the Rfam family "Bacterial small subunit ribosomal RNA", at positions 508 to 808 of the family's 1533-position model. The record is from RNAcentral.